Molecule: non-coding RNA, 27 nt
Filed under: Rattus norvegicus (Norway rat)
Lineage: Eukaryota; Metazoa; Chordata; Mammalia; Rodentia; Muridae
Source: RNAcentral
UGUAAAUGCUGAAUGCCACCUGGAUUU